RNAcentral lists this microRNA precursor (121 nucleotides) under Lepisosteus oculatus (spotted gar). Its description in RNAcentral is "Danio rerio miR-10d stem-loop (ENSLOCG00000020075.1)". The stretch from base 21 to 95 matches the Rfam family "mir-10 microRNA precursor family". Rfam says of the family: In this case the mature sequence comes from the 5' arm of the precursor. The extents of the hairpin precursors are not generally known and are estimated based on hairpin prediction. Lineage: Eukaryota; Metazoa; Chordata; Actinopteri; Semionotiformes; Lepisosteidae. The record is from RNAcentral.
AGAGACUUAUAUUCCGUCGUCUAUAUAUACCCUGUAGAACCGAAUUUGUGUGAUAUAAACACAGUCACAGAUUCGAUUCUAGGGGAGUAUAUGGUCGAUGCAAAAACUUCGAAUUUUACAA